RNAcentral lists this small nuclear RNA (143 nucleotides) under Fukomys damarensis (Damara mole-rat). RNAcentral's name for it is "U2 spliceosomal RNA". It matches the Rfam family "U2 spliceosomal RNA". Rfam says of the family: U2 is a small nuclear RNA (snRNA) component of the spliceosome (involved in pre-mRNA splicing). Complementary binding between U2 snRNA (in an area lying towards the 5' end but 3' to hairpin I) and the branchpoint sequence (BPS) of the intron results the bulging out of an unpaired adenosine, on the BPS, which initiates a nucleophilic attack at the intronic 5' splice site, thus starting the first of two transesterification reactions that mediate splicing. The record is from Rfam by way of RNAcentral. Lineage: Eukaryota; Metazoa; Chordata; Mammalia; Rodentia; Bathyergidae.
AUCGCUUCUCGGCCUUUUGGCUAAGAUCAAGUGUAGUAGAGAUGGUACCUUUUUUUUUUUUUUUUUUUUUUAAAACAGGGCCUCACUAUGUAGUUGAGACUGCCCUGGAACUCACUGUGUAGCCCAGGCUGGUCUCAAUCCUC